CCUACGGGUGGCAGCAGUGAGGAAUAUUGGUCAAUGGGCGUAAGCCUGAACCAGCCAAGUCGUGUGAGGGAUGAAGGUUCUAUGGAUCGUAAACCUCUUUUAUAAGGGAAUAAAGUGUGGGACGUGUCCUAUUUUGUAUGUACCUUAUGAAUAAGGAUCGGCUAACUCCGUGCCAGCAGCCGCGGUAAUACGGAGGAUCCGAGCGUUAUCCGGAUUCAUUGGGUUUAAAGGGUGCGUAGGUUGUUUUAUAAGUUAGCGGUGAAAUACCGAUGCUCAACAUCGGGGCUGCCGCUGAUACUGUAGGACUAGAGAUCGGAUGCAGCAGGCGGAAUGUGUAGUGUAGCGGUGAAAUGCAUAGAUAUUACACAGAACACCGAUUGCGAAGGCAGCUUGCUAGGCCGGAUCUGACACUGAUGCACGAAAGCGUGGGGAUCGAACAGGAUUAGAUACCCCGGUAGUC
RNAcentral lists this ribosomal RNA (460 nucleotides) under uncultured bacterium. Its description in RNAcentral is "partial 16S ribosomal RNA". It matches the Rfam family "Bacterial small subunit ribosomal RNA", at positions 338 to 795 of the family's 1533-position model. The record is from RNAcentral.